RNAcentral lists this long non-coding RNA (1105 nucleotides) under Vulpes vulpes (red fox). RNAcentral's name for it is "lncRNA (ENSVVUG00000001242.1)". Lineage: Eukaryota; Metazoa; Chordata; Mammalia; Carnivora; Canidae. The record is from RNAcentral.
GUAAAAUUCAGUAAUUGUAAAAUUUGAUAAGCAAUUCUGAUAAUUUACUAGUAAUCACUUACACAUUUUUUAUUGGUGAAGCCGUAAAUCACCCUAUUGAAUUUUGUCCUUUGAUAUUUAAGCAACAGAUUACCUAUUACUAAAACAUAUACUGUAUCUCCUACAACUUUUUCCCCCCCUCUGGAAGUAUUUGUAAAGAAUGAAUUUAAUUUAAUUUAAUUUUUUUUCAUUUGUUUUUAUUGAAGUUCGAUUUGCCAAAAUAUAGUAUAACAUCCAGUGCUCAUCCCAUCAAGUGCCUCAUCAGUGCCCAUCACCCAGUUACCCCAAGAAUUUAAUUUUAAAUUUAAGAAUGCUUUACUUUGCUUUUUUAUCCAUUAAUAUUUUAGUGAUACAAGUAUGAUAUUGGUAACAAUGUAGAAUUCAUCAGAAAAAUGUUGGGAUUUUUCCCACGGGAAAAACAUGAGAAACAAUUGAAAUGUAAGUAAUUGAAAUGUAAAAAAAAUGGAAAGGAAACCAGUUGAAUUAGUUUAGAACAGCUGCCACUGAACAGAGAACAGAGCAAGCUCCUUCAGAGAGAUUUAGAGCAUUCUUUCAUCUCUUCUUUUUAUUUUUUUAUAUAUUUUUCAACAACAGAUGGAUUAGGACUAGCUGUGUCCCCAUGCAUGAAUGUUUUAUAUAGCUUGAAAUGACUUCAUCAUUUAGCCACGUGAUGAUCAUUCCUUCAUAAGAUGCGUUCAAAAAUACUAUCAGGUAGUCUCCUAGAAACAAUUGAAAAGUUACAAGAUCCUACUUAACUUGAAGAGUCAUCAGGGUGAGUUUCUUGAAAAGUUUUGAUACCUAAGAUUCUGACUUCUGAAAUCACAGAAUUUUAUUUAAAGAUAAUUUUCUAAUGUCAAAAAGUAAGAUGAAGUGACCUACAUAGAGAGCUGUGAUAUUUCAUGUAAGUCCAAUACUUUGGUUAGCAAAAAUAAGAAAUUUUAAUAGACUAGCAAAAUGUUAUAAUCAGCCAUUGAAACAACAUGCUUGAUAGCUUUUAAAUAUUUCCAUGAGUGAAUGAAUGAAUUUUUGGAGAUUUAUGUAGUUGCUAUUUAAAUAAGUUAAAUUU